This 1853-nucleotide long non-coding RNA is filed under the name Erythranthe guttata (spotted monkey flower). Its description in RNAcentral is "long non-coding RNA (EGUT_LNC001439)". The record is from RNAcentral. Lineage: Eukaryota; Viridiplantae; Streptophyta; Magnoliopsida; Lamiales; Phrymaceae.
GAUAAUGAACAUGUUCAGAUUUCAAUUCAAGCCAAUGAAGAAUUGUCGUGAAUAUGGAAUUCAAGAAGAACAAUAAAUUCCAUGUCAGGUUCCAAGAACGAGUAUAUCAAGAUCUCAAUGAAUUCAAUAAACAUGAGAUUCAAGUUCGAGCCAACAAAAUAUUUAUUCUCGGAAAACAUUCAAGACAAGAUUUUGAGAAUAAAUAUAAUUCAAUAUCGAUUCAAGGAAAAUGUUCAGGCCAAGGAAUCAAGUGUAGGAAUUAGCCGUGAACAUAGCAACCAAGAGAAUUGACAAGUUCAAGAUUUCAAGAACAAGAUCAAGGUUCCAAGUUCGAGCCAAGGAAACGAAUAUGCUCGCAGAACAUUAAGGAUCAUAUUCCAAGAAAAAUAUAAUCAAUGCAUCAAAGGAUUCAAGAUGGAGAAUAUAUUUGGUUCAAACAAAGGAGAUAUUAAGCGCAGGAAAGAAAUCGGAUAAGGAGUCAUAGUUUCUCACCUGGAGUCCAACGCUAGUGCUAUAGAAGUGCUAUAGAAGCAUCUUUAAGCUUAAACCUUGAGUGAGAGCUUUACUACGCUCAACACCUAUGCAAAUAUUAGAACUAAAUAAGAUUCCGAACAGUAAUAUAGUCAUACUACCAUCCACUAUAUGACAUAGUCAAUUUCUUAAACAUAUACUAAGAAUUGAUUCUCGUGGCACUCUAUUCAAAUAAUCACUGCGAUCGUCGUACUUAUCCGAAUGACCUAAACGAUAUAUAAAGUUAAAGAUAACAUCUGUAUCUACAAUUUUACUAAAGACUUUAAUCCCAAAUUAACAACAUAACCCGUCAAUAAUAACCCCGAAAGAUGAGUACAUAAACCUGCCAGAUUUUUUGGAUAAUUUCGUUUGCUGUCACAGUUUCUUUGGAAAAUCAUAACAAAUCGUACGGUUAUCCAAAUUGUCCAAAUAAUACAUCAAAUGAAACCUGACAACUUAAUCUACAAGUUUCAUCCAGACGCACAGCCCAAAUUAUGAUCCCAACAUAUCGAAAACAGUCCCGCAAGAAGAUACUCAAAACUGCCCUGUUUCCGGCAGAUUACUGUCAUCGGAUUCCGACCUCUAAAACACGUAUAUUAAAUACUCUAAUUCGAUAUGAUUGAACACUUACUUACAGUUUACGAUGUCCUCUACGAGUUUCCUGAAGGAACCGAUUCCAAAUUCGCAUUCGAAACCCUUCGAUUUCGGCUCCGAAAACAGGUGCGGCAGCAGAUUUCAUUAUAGAUCCAGCGAGCAGGCUGAACUUCUCGCCCAAUUCCGGCAACCACCGCCGAUUAAUACUACCGAGCUCCAACACCAAUCGAAAGCUAACAUCUCAAGGUUUCUAACCGUGUGUCCUGAUCGUCAAUAUUCAACCUUUAAGGCCUCCGAGCAAUUAAUUCUUCAAAGGACCAAAAGCUGAAAUUCAACUCUGGACAGCUCGUCUUCUUCGACCCAUUCCGACCACCACCACCGAUGUGAAGCUGACCUCUUAUGGUUUAUACUAGUGCCUCCGGAUUCUCAAAACUCUGUUCAUAAAACGUUGCGGCACUUCCUUUGAAGAAUCAAUUCGGGCUUUCAUCUUUCACCUCUCAAUUCUUCAACCUAAACUUGAUUACACCAAACCCUCACUUGGAAACUCGAUAAUUCCGAUUAAUUUAGGUGAUUCCAGCCAAGACUCCGCUAGAGAGAAUGGCGGAGAUAGACGUGAGCAAGAGAGAGAGAAAAGAGGAAGAUAGAGAGAAAGAGAGAGACGGUGAGGUAGAGAGACGGUGAUGGAGAGAGAAGAGAAACGUGGCUGCCAUAGAAGGAAUUAGAAUAGGCGAAGUACACGUCAAUCCCUA